CUCUAAUCCAUUUAUCUUUUGGCAAUUUAGGUUCCAUUGGAAGGAUUUAAGGCCUUGCAGGGGAUAUCUGGCUCCCAAAGGUUUCAGAUACACAAGGCAUAUGGCGCUCCUGAGAGACUUCCAUCAGCCCAUACCUGUUUCAACCAGCUCGACUUGCCUGAAUAUUCAUCCAAGGAGCAAUUAGAAGAACGUUUGAUGCUUGCCAUCCAUGAAGCUAGUGAAGGUUUUGGCUUCGGCUGAUUUGGUUUUGCUCGUUUGAAAGGCCUUGUUUUUCUGUUUUUCGUGUACAGGUCAGAUUCACUAUAAUGUUUUUUGAGUUUAUAUUUGUUUUAGCUCCACUAUUCCUUUGAUGAAUAGACCUCCAGUAUGAUUAUAUGGCCAUUCUCUUGUUGUAUAGAUGCCCAAAGUAACCAUUUUUUUUUUGGUUAUUUUUGCCACAACUUGGCAAUGUAAGAAAGCUACUCUGAGGAGGCAUAAUAAAGUGAUGAGAUUAACUUAUAAAUAUCGCCCUUCGGUGAAUGUUUACAACA
This is a long non-coding RNA of Dendrobium catenatum, 530 nucleotides long. RefSeq lists it as uncharacterized. NCBI's taxonomy places the organism in Eukaryota, Viridiplantae, Streptophyta, Magnoliopsida, Asparagales, Orchidaceae. The transcript is spliced from 2 exons. The record is from RefSeq and is a predicted model, not a curated record.